Molecule: transfer RNA, 86 nt
Filed under: Halobacteriovoraceae bacterium
Lineage: Bacteria; Pseudomonadati; Bdellovibrionota; Bacteriovoracia; Bacteriovoracales; Halobacteriovoraceae
Also listed under: 2 other names
Description: tRNA-Tyr
Rfam family: tRNA
About the family: Transfer RNA (tRNA) molecules are approximately 80 nucleotides in length.
Source: RNAcentral
GGCGUGGUUCCCGAGCGGCCAAAGGGAGCAGACUGUAAAUCUGCCGGUGUAUACCUUCGAAGGUUCGAAUCCUUCCCGCGCCACCA